RNAcentral lists this ribosomal RNA (253 nucleotides) under uncultured bacterium. Its description in RNAcentral is "partial 16S ribosomal RNA". It matches the Rfam family "Bacterial small subunit ribosomal RNA", at positions 524 to 776 of the family's 1533-position model. The record is from RNAcentral.
UACAGAGGUCUCAAGCGUUGUUCGGAUUCAUUGGGCGUAAAGGGUGCGUAGGUGGCGGGGUAGGUCAGGUGUGAAAUCUCGAGGCUCAACCUCGAAACUGCACUUGAUACUGCCUUGCUCGAGUACUGGAGAGGAGAUUGGAAUUUACGGUGUAGCAGUGAAAUGCGUAGAUAUCGUAAGGAAGACCAGUGGCGAAGGCGAAUCUCUGGACAGUUACUGACACUGAGGCACGAAGGCCAGGGGAGCAAACAGG